CCCAAGUCUUAAGCCUAGAGGAUAGUAUAGAAGACUUUGGUAAUGGUUUGCAAUCAAUUCAUCAUUGAUUUCAACAUUAAAUUAGUCAACGUUUGAGCUCCAUUAGAUUCUAUUGAUUCCGCUGCUUGAUUAUGUAAUCUUUAAAGGAGCUGAAAAUAUAACUUCACGAGAUAAAAUUCACUCAUAAUCAUAUAGGGUAAAUAGAUGAUUAGUUCAAAUGUUGAUUUCAUGAGUCCCCACCCUCUGACUAACCCGAGAGAGACAAGAGGGACUUGGUUUAUGGUUAAUUAGACCAUAAAUAAAUUGUUUAUUAGUCUAGAAUAUCAAUGAAACUUAAGAAAAAGAAAAAAAUUACAAAAUAAAAAAAGGACAUUUGACCCAACGAUAAUUUUAGAUAUAAAUUGAUUGCUAUCACUAUCUAUCUCAAAUAGAUAAAUGAUAAAUCUAAAUGAUCGUGUAUCAUAAUCGUUUUGAUUUGGUCCAAGAUCAUUUAGAAAAUAAGUAUAUCAAUAUCUAAACGAUCAUUCGUCUAUCUCAGAUAGACAAAGAUAAAUCACUAUCAUUGUCUAUCCCAAAAAGAUAAAUGGUAGAUUUAAACGAUCGUUAAUCAAUGUCUAAACAAACUUUUAGACUAUAUUAUACGAUCGUUUAAAUUAAAAGCUUAUUGUGUUUUGUAAAUAUUUAUACGUUUUAUUUUAGUUUAGAAAAACCGGGUAAGUAUAUAAUAAAUAAAAAUGAAUUAUGUGGACGCACAUUUAGGAAAUAUAAAAUAAUAUUAUUGAGUAUUGGAGGAAAAUAGUUGGGUGAAAGUAGGGACAAAGUAACACCUCUAUGACUUUGGUUUGUUGAGUAUUGAAGUCAGAACAAUUAAAGCGAGUUGGAGGAUUUUGAAUGAUUUCUUAAAUACACAAACUAAAAUUUAUAUUUUAAUCUUUCAUAGGGAUGGAUAUAUAAAUUCCAAAUAUCUUUCUUUCAUCAUUGUUUUGACUUCUUCCAUCACCUUUUUCUUUUCUUUUACUUCUAACAACAUAUUUCCUCUUUAUUUAUUUACAUUUUCUUUACCUACAACACUUGUUCUUCUCAAUAUUCCAAAACCAAAACCUAUAUUUCUUUGUUUUUAUUCACUUUAUUUUUGAAAAAAAAAAAUGAAAAAAUGUAAAUAAUAAAUCAUGUUUUUAGAUUAAUUUUCAAUAUCAAAUAGUUACAAAAUGAGAUAAUUAUCUAUUUGUUAUCAAAUAUUUUAGAAGUAUUUACAAUCUCAUGAAACUAAAACUUAAUACAUAAACAACUAACUAUAACAAACAAAGUUAAUAAUUAUGGAUAUUUUGGAGAUAUUAAAAUUUAACAUUUUCCAUGACUACUUCUUGUAUGUUUAGAUUGAUGAAAACAUGGUUAAACUUAAUUUCAAACAUGAUCUCUAAUUUCUUUAAUUUUUUUUUAUGUCUAAUUGAUCAAAUACAAAAUUAAAAAUUUUGAAAGCUGAAGAGAUAGCAUUUAUAAUUAUGAAAAUGGAGAGAGGAAAUAAAAGAAAGAAAAAAACAUAAAUCUCAUAUACACAAAAGAAAUGUUAUGUGACCGAACAAUUUUACUUUACUCAACCAAUACUCCCGUAGUUGAUACCUUGAUGGGACUCUUUAUUGUUUCUUUCUAUUGACGCCUUAUAUGAAAAGCUAUAUAUAUCUUUGUUAUAUGUUUGUGUAUUUUUUUUCUUUUUAAAUAAAAGUUUGAUCAUAAAAAAAUGGAUUGAUUAUAUUCCAUGAGUAUCCUUGGUUAGUUUUGGGACAACAAAGUUGACCUGUCAUACUCAACCAUUUGGAUGUGAAUGCAACCCCUUGAACCAUCAACUACGCCUUACUAUUUGUUAUACCAUAUGAAAUCUUCUUCUUUUGCUUUCUUUUUCAUUUGAACCUUGAAUAUAAAAUCAAUCCAGUGUGACAUAAGAGUUUCGUAAGUAUUUCAGAUUUUGAUUACAUAAACAAUCCUUCCCUUUCUACUUUCAAAUUUACUUUAUUUUGAUUUCUAAUCUCCCAGGGUCCACAAGGACCUCGUGGCCCACAAAAGAAGAAGAGAAAAAAGAAUCAUCAAUUAUAUAUCCAACCACUAAACAACUCUUCACACCUUACAAAAUUUUCAUAUUUGAAAACUUAAAACAAUUCCAUCUCUAGAAAAGUUCAUCUUAACUAAACUUGUGAGAAAACAAAACAGUGAAGUUUUGUUUUUCAUCUAGUAGCUUAAAAUCACGUUUCUAUUUGUAUACUCAAAGCUUUCGUUAUUGACUAGACAAAACUAAAAUAAAAGUGAGAAUCAACGUAGUAAAUAUAAGCUAAAACGAGUUUAGUUGAAUGAUAAUUGAACAGAUCGCUUCCCACGAGAUUCGAGAUUGAAAGUAGAAUGUUUAGAAAUUGAGAGAGCAGGGAAUGAGGAAAAUCUUCAAUACUAAAUAGGAGUUUAAAAAGGGUGUAAUUCUUGGUUAGAUUCAACAAAAGAAUGCGCAGUAAAGCAAAGGAUAUUAGUUGUAGUGUACUUUUGACAAUAAGAAAAUGGGUUACACACACAGCUCCCUCUUUUAAGAUUUAAUUUGGUAGUUAUUGCUAACAAUAUAUCAUUUCAGAGGAUUGACUUUGACUCUUCAACUCUUUUUGCAAAAGAGAACAUAUAACAAUAACAAGAUUAAUCAAUUAUAUCCACUUGUGAACAUGUGGGGUUUUAAUGUGCUUACCCAAAACUAACUCUAUGUAGACAUCAAAAUAGAAUUUGAACACACCAGUAAUGUGAAAAGGAGAAAUUGAAAAAAAAAAAGAAAGAAAAGGGACAACAAAGACACAAAACAAAUCAUUUCAUUUUUUUCUUCCUAACAUAUUCAUACCUAAUUUUUGAAUUCUCAUUCACGUGUUUAGGGCUUUGAGUUGAUUAUUAUACAUUGUGAUUGUGUUUGAAAUAAUAAGAUUAAAAGUUAGAAUAAUUUGAAACCAAAGUGAAUUUGGAGGGUUUGUUUUGAAUGUGCAGUUAAAAGAAAGGAAAAAACAUUAUUGCACUAAAAGCAUCAUAAAAUAUUCCAAUUCAUCAUAGUUUAUCAAACAAAGAAAGUAGAACAAUGUAGAAGUGAUGAGUUAACAUCGAAUUUCAUUCCAUUUGGGAAAUUAGGUAGAGAAGGAGAACCCUAAAACAAGCAAAAUCCACAAGGGAAAUUGAAGUUCAUUGCAUGGUUGAAGAACAAAACAAAACAUUCCAGAAUGAGAAUACAAUUGGAAUUUGUGGAAAGAGAAGUUUCAUUUUUGUCAACAUGACGAGGAAUAUAUGAAAUAAAAGUGAACCCUAGACACUGAAAUCGGAAAACAAUAAGGUGACGUCGAUGAGGAUGACGAUGAGAAGAUACCUGGUGGAGCACUUGAGGAAGAAGAAGAAGAAGUUAAAAGGAACAGAGUUGGUAGAGAUUGAGACUCAGAAUCGAAGCUUCAACAACUUUUUGAUAAUGGCAGAAGAGAAUAACAAAAAAACAAAAAAAAAAAAAAGUGGUUUGGGGCUUCAAGCCGAAACUAAGGGCCGUGAAAGCAGCUUCCAAAUUGGAUCAAUAUUACAUAAGCCCAAAAGUCCAUGAUGCUCAUGCUCCUAUUUUAAUGUAUGGCCAUUCUAAACAAUAGUUGAAAGUACACAAUAUGCAAAUCAUGUCUACUAAAUUUGGUCUUUCUUUUAUUUCUUUCUAAAAUUGUUUAGUUUUCUCACUCAUUGCCUAUAAUGCCACCUUCCCCUUCUUCUCC
RNAcentral lists this long non-coding RNA (3758 nucleotides) under Cucumis sativus (cucumber). Its description in RNAcentral is "long non-coding RNA (CSAT_LNC001142)". Lineage: Eukaryota; Viridiplantae; Streptophyta; Magnoliopsida; Cucurbitales; Cucurbitaceae. The record is from RNAcentral.